CCCUUAGAUGUCCUGGGCCGCACGCGCGCUACACUGAUGCAUUCAACGAGUCUACCUUGGCCGAGAGGCCUGGGCAACCUUUUAAACGUGCGUCGUGAUAGGGAUAGAUUAUUGCAAUUAUUAAUCUUGAACGAGGAAUUCCUAGUAAACGCAAAUCAUCAAUUUGCAUUGAUUACGUCCCUGCACUUUGUACACACCGCCCGUCGCACCUACCGAUUGAAUGGUCCGGUGAGGACUCGGGAUUUUUACCAGUUUCCUUCAUUGGGAAUUGGUGAGGAGAACUUGUCCAAACCUUAUCAUUUAGAGGAAGGUGAAGUCGUAACA
RNAcentral lists this ribosomal RNA (324 nucleotides) under uncultured eukaryote. Its description in RNAcentral is "partial 18S ribosomal RNA". It matches the Rfam family "Eukaryotic small subunit ribosomal RNA", at positions 1470 to 1796 of the family's 1831-position model. The record is from RNAcentral.